This is a ribosomal RNA of Oncorhynchus tshawytscha (Chinook salmon), 114 nucleotides long. Lineage: Eukaryota; Metazoa; Chordata; Actinopteri; Salmoniformes; Salmonidae. The record is from Ensembl.
UGACCACACCGGCCUGAGUACGCCUGAUCUCGUCUGAUCUCGGAAGCUAAGCAGGGUCGGGCCUGGUUAGUACUUGGAUGGGAGACUUCCUGGGAAUACCAGGUGCUGUAAGCU